Molecule: long non-coding RNA, 622 nt
Organism: Triplophysa dalaica
Lineage: Eukaryota; Metazoa; Chordata; Actinopteri; Cypriniformes; Nemacheilidae
Exons: 3
Source: RefSeq, a predicted model, not a curated record
CACAAAGCCACAACUUGACUGAGAUCACAAAACUUUCUUGCAGGAUUUAGGCCAAUGUAUCUGAGGUUUUCUUCCAUGCAUUUUCUUUUCUUCUGCUUGCUGCGACUGGGUGGUCUCCGGGUUGCUGAUUGCUGGUCAUUUCUAAUAAAUAAUGCGCACUGGAAUAACGUGUUGUCACUUUUUCUACAAAGCCAACAGUCAGUCACCAAACUAAUGAUCACACAGGAUCGGAAUGUUAUGGAGAUCACCAUCUGUGCCAGACGUCAUGGAGAUCACCCCAGCUACGAGAAUCUAUGACUCGCCUGUGAUGAAACAGAUCCUGCUCACUGUCUGAUUGGAGUACCGAACCCACCUUGCUGGGAAAGUUCACCUACCACAGGUCACAAGAAUGAACGAGGAUGAUUAUUGACUAAUAAUAAUAAAGAUAAUAUCUUGUUGUUCAUUCUCUCCUUUGCUUACUCCAGCCUUAAUCCUAGUAGAAUGGCCUUGUAAACUAACGGUAUGUUUAGCGGGUUGACAAAGUUUUAAAACUGUAUGCUCUCAUACUUGUAAGUUGAUUUGGAUAAAAGUGUCUGCUAAAUUAAUAAGUGUACAUGUAAAUGAUGCCUUGUUGGCUUAACAA